This 236-nucleotide ribosomal RNA is filed under the name uncultured bacterium. RNAcentral's name for it is "partial 16S ribosomal RNA". It matches the Rfam family "Bacterial small subunit ribosomal RNA", at positions 99 to 334 of the family's 1533-position model. The record is from RNAcentral.
CGAACGGGUGCGUAACACGUGAGCAACCUACCGAAGUGUGGGGGGAUAGCCGGUCUAACGGCCGAGUAAUACCGCAUACGAUUCCGAAGAGGCAUUUCUUUGGAAUGAAACCUACGGGACACUUCGAGGGGCUCGCGGCCUAUCAGCUAGUUGGUGAGGUAACGGCUCACCAAGGCUACGACGGGUAGCUGGUCUGAGAGGAUGGCCAGCCACAUUGGGACUGAGAUACGGCCCAG